This is a long non-coding RNA of Jatropha curcas, 615 nucleotides long. RefSeq lists it as uncharacterized. Lineage: Eukaryota; Viridiplantae; Streptophyta; Magnoliopsida; Malpighiales; Euphorbiaceae. The record is from RefSeq and is a predicted model, not a curated record.
GUUGAAGAAGACUUAGAUAAUCUUGAAAAAUUAGAGAAGGGUAAGGAAUUUUCGAAAUCGCCUAUUUCUCUGUUGAAGAAGACUUAGAUAAUCUUGAAAAAUUAGAGAAGGGUAAGGAAUUUUCGAAAUCGCCUAUUUCUCUGUUGAAGAAGACUUAGAUAAUCUUGAAAAGUUAGAGAAGGGUAAGGAAUUUUUGACUUGUUUGUUAUUACUCUUGCACUUACAUCUCACAGUUGUAUUUAUUAAUAUGUUAUUGGCUCUUUUAUAGAUUUACAAGGCAUUUGCAUAAAAGCUGUAGUCGAUUUAUAAAAUAUUUUUUCAAGAUCCUUGCUAAUGUUAUCAGGUAUUGUUGCAGGAUUAUCUUUGUUAAUGUUUUCAGAUAUCAAUUUGGAUAUUGAAGUUAGUUUUUAUAUUUUGAUUUGGAUGUUGAAGUUAGUAUUUGGAUAAGGAUGUUGGAGUUAGUAAAUGUAUCUACUGUAGAAUUAUAUUUGCAUUAGAAUGUUUGUAAAAUUGUUAGAACUUCUUUUUGGAUUUGGAUGUUUGUAAUUUUUUAGUGAUACCAUUUUAUUUUGAUUUCUUAUGUUGUUUGUUUAGUGAUACUAUUUUAUUUCUUUA